Molecule: long non-coding RNA, 787 nt
Filed under: Helianthus annuus (common sunflower)
Lineage: Eukaryota; Viridiplantae; Streptophyta; Magnoliopsida; Asterales; Asteraceae
Source: RNAcentral
CUACUCAAACCUAACUUAACCUUUUAUGUACACCAUUUUCUCCUAUAAAACCAUCCAAACAACCCAAAUUCACAAGCUUUUGUAAAAAGAUCAGAUUUGCAGACACAAACAACAACAUGGGUCGAUUCCAAUUUCUGGAGGCGGUGCUGCCGCUAGGGAUUAUCGCCGGCAUGCUCUGCAUCGCCGGAAACGUUCAGUAUCAAAUCCACAAAGCUGCACACGGUCGCCCCAAACACAUCGGCAAUGAUAUGUGGGACGUUGCAAUGGAACGACGGGACAAGAAAAUCGUUGAUGACAAACUUUAUCCUGCCAGUAAUUAGGGUUUCUUCUUACAAGGAAGCAUUGGCAAUGUGAUGCAAGGAAUAAGGGGAGAUUGGCUAUGUGUUUACUUUUUCUUGUUUUGUUGGAAAACACAUUUAUAAACUUGACUUUGUGAAAUUGGUAUUGUUCUGCAAAAUGCUUGCUGCGUUACUUGUUUGUAGUUUGCAAGUUUUACGAGUAGAUUGGUUUGUUUCGAUCGAAUCUACGAAUGAGAUUGUUAAACCGCAUAAGCCGUUGAGCUGAAUCGAACCCUUUUGUACUUUUGCAUUCGUUCAAACUAAACGAUGUUUUCUUCAAGGCUGAUUUUGCAUUCAAUUCCAGUAUCCGGAAAUAGUUGCAGGAUUAGAUUAAAAAAAAUAUAUUCUUAUGAUGUGUACGAAGUGAUCUCAACUUUUUUUAUCUCAAUGUUUUAAUGGUUCAGUGGUUAUGAUUAGGUGAUUGGCGAGAUGGUAAUAAUAGAAAGUUA